CAGCAGCCGCGGUAAUACGUAGGUGGCAAGCGUUGUCCGGAAUUAUUGGGCGUAAAGCGCGCGCAGGCGGAUAGGUCAGUCUGUCUUAAAAGUUCGGGGCUUAACCCCGUGAUGGGAUUGAAACUGCCAAUCUAGAGUAUCGGAGAGGAAAGUGGAAUUCCUAGUGUAGCGGUGAAAUGCGUAGAUAUUAGGAAGAACACCAGUGGCGAAGGCGACUUUCUGGACGAAAACUGACGCUGAGGCGCGAAAGCCAGGGGAGCGAACGGGAUUAGAUACCCCUGUAGUCCCUGUCUCUUAUACA
Molecule: ribosomal RNA, 301 nt
Filed under: uncultured bacterium
Lineage: Bacteria
Description: partial 16S ribosomal RNA
Rfam family: Bacterial small subunit ribosomal RNA
Source: RNAcentral